UGCCCCAUCACCUCUUCACCUCCAUUCCAGCUGCUGAUUGACAGUAUUUCCUAUCCCUGCUAACCAGGGACAGAACUCUGAUUGGAACUGAGGUGACCUCUACUCCCUUUCCCAUCUGUUAUCAAUGCACUGCGUCAGAUGUCAUACUCUUGGCUUUAGGACAUGAUUUCAUCUCUUCCUUACCAGUCAACCCUGCCACCCCUUCUUUCAUGGACAAUGACACUGAGGUCAUCAAGUCAUCAAGCAGGAACAUGGUCCAGCUCUUCUGUUGAUACCAGUUGUCAAGCCAGAGGGCUUAGACUCACCACAGCAAUUACCCGCAGUGCCAGGGCACUGGGUCUACUCUUCCACCAUGAAGAACAUUAAAGCGAUAUUAAGACAAGUCAUUUUCAUGCAGGAAUGGGUUGAUCUUUCCAACUGUGAUGCUUUACUUUCUUAAUUCAGGCUUUCGGAGCCACUUAUGCCCCCUAGGGGCUACCUUGGGGUUUAAAGAAAAACAAGCAUGUGUUUCUAUCCUAACCUCACAUCCAUGCUGGCUUCUGGAAAAAUGGGAAACUUUGUGGCACAGGAAGGAAGUUUUAGUAUUUUUCUGGAACCAUGGGAACUUCUGCCCACAGGCUUGAAGAAUCUUCCCAGUCGUUGACUGGUCCACAUAACCAUGAAGGCAUUGACUUUGGCUUUGACUCCCACGUGAACUGCUAAGUCACAAAGAAUGGCUUUUAAAAAAAUCUGUUCUAAGCAAAUGUAACAUGGAAGUGUUUUUCCCUGGAUAUUCUUCCAUAUUCAUCUUGAUACAAUAUAGACU
Molecule: long non-coding RNA, 805 nt
Organism: Mastomys coucha (southern multimammate mouse)
Lineage: Eukaryota; Metazoa; Chordata; Mammalia; Rodentia; Muridae
Exons: 3
Source: RefSeq, a predicted model, not a curated record